UAUUUAUUCUUAAACAAGCUUUUCAAAAGAGUUUGGGUUAACUGUAUAAUCUGUAUAAGUAUAGAGUUGCUUUGCUUUUUUCUGAACUGGUGUAAUAAAUUUUGAACUUUCUAAAAAAAA
Sinocyclocheilus anshuiensis is the source of this 120-nucleotide long non-coding RNA. RefSeq lists it as uncharacterized. The transcript has 3 exons. The record is from RefSeq and is a predicted model, not a curated record. Lineage: Eukaryota; Metazoa; Chordata; Actinopteri; Cypriniformes; Cyprinidae.